ACGGGAGGCAGCAGUGGGGAAUAUUGCACAAUGGGGGAAACCCUGAUGCAGCGACGCCGCGUGAGUGAAGAAGUAUUUCGGUAUGUAAAGCUCUAUCAGUAGGGAAGAAAAUGACGGUACCUAACUAAGAAGCCCCGGCUAACUACGUGCCAGCAGCCGCGGUAAUACGUAGGGGGCAAGCGUUAUCCGGAUUUACUGGGUGUAAAGGGAGCGUAGACGGUUUGGCAAGUCAGAAGUGAAAGGCGGGGGCUCAACCCUUGGACUGCUUUUGAAACUGUUAAACUAGAGUGUCGGAGGGGUAAGUGGAAUUCCUAGUGUAGCGGUGAAAUGCGUAGAUAUUAGGAGGAACACCAGAGGCGAAGGCGGCUUACUGGACGAUUACUGACGUUGAGGCUCGAAAGCGUGGGGAGCGAACAGGAUUAGAUACCCUGGUA
This 434-nucleotide ribosomal RNA is filed under the name uncultured Clostridium sp. Its description in RNAcentral is "partial 16S ribosomal RNA". It matches the Rfam family "Bacterial small subunit ribosomal RNA", at positions 341 to 792 of the family's 1533-position model. Lineage: Bacteria; Bacillati; Bacillota; Clostridia; Eubacteriales; Clostridiaceae. The record is from RNAcentral.